UCAAACAUUUAAUUUGAUUCA
Molecule: non-coding RNA, 21 nt
Filed under: Caenorhabditis elegans
Lineage: Eukaryota; Metazoa; Nematoda; Chromadorea; Rhabditida; Rhabditidae
Source: RNAcentral